ACGACAAACCAAAGGACCUUUCGGGCGCCAAGAGAUGAGCCUGCGUCCCAUUAGCUUGGUUGGUAGGGGUAACCGGCCCUACCAAGGCUACGAUGGGUAGCUGGUCUGAGAGGAUGAUCAGCCACACUGGGACUGAGAUACGGCCCAG
Molecule: ribosomal RNA, 148 nt
Filed under: uncultured bacterium
Lineage: Bacteria
Description: partial 16S ribosomal RNA
Rfam family: Bacterial small subunit ribosomal RNA
Source: RNAcentral